GUCUCGACAGCUAAGUGGUAUAGUGUGCGAUUGCAAAUCGCGAGGCCCUGUGUUCGAACCACGGUCGGGACU
Molecule: non-coding RNA, 72 nt
Organism: Coprinopsis sp. MPI-PUGE-AT-0042
Lineage: Eukaryota; Fungi; Basidiomycota; Agaricomycetes; Agaricales; Psathyrellaceae
Source: the annotation of a GenBank genome assembly